AGUGAACGCUGGCGGUAGGCCUAACACAUGCAAGUCGAACGGCAGCACAGUAAGAGCUUGCUCUUACGGGUGGCGAGUGGCGGACGGGUGAGGAAUACAUCGGAAUCUACUUUUUCGUGGGGGAUAACGUAGGGAAACUUACGCUAAUACCGCAUACGACCUACGGGUGAAAGCAGGGGAUCUUCGGACCUUGCGCGAUUGAAUGAGCCGAUGUCGGAUUAGCUAGUUGGCGGGGUAAAGGCCCACCAAGGCGACGAUCCGUAGCUGGUCUGAGAGGAUGAUCAGCCACACUGGAACUGAGACACGGUCCAGACUCCUACGGGAGGAAGCAGUGGGGAAUAUUGGACAAUGGGCGCAAGCCUGACCCAGCCAUCCCGCGUGGGUGAAGAAGGCCUUCGGGUUGUAAAGCCCUUUUGUUGGGAAAGAAAAGCAGCAGGUUAAUACCCCGCUGUUCUGACGGUACCCAAAGAAUAAGCACCGGCUAACUUCGUG
This 492-nucleotide ribosomal RNA is filed under the name uncultured bacterium. RNAcentral describes it as "partial 16S ribosomal RNA". It matches the Rfam family "Bacterial small subunit ribosomal RNA", at positions 29 to 507 of the family's 1533-position model. The record is from RNAcentral.